UUUUUUACAAUACUUACAAUUUUUUUAUAAGUGUAAGAUUAUUUCAAAAUUUUAAAAAUAAUAGGAUUCUGUCAGUGUGUGUUUCUGAGAGUGAAUGGCUCACAGCUGUUGAGUAUCUAACACAACCACUACACAGGAGAUUGACAGUCGCAUUCAUGAGUGUGAUGGUGCAUGAUCUCAUUUUCAAUCUGAGACUU
Molecule: small nucleolar RNA, 197 nt
Filed under: Homo sapiens (human)
Lineage: Eukaryota; Metazoa; Chordata; Mammalia; Primates; Hominidae
Description: snoRNA-U87-related
Source: RNAcentral